GGGGACGUUAAUCGGAUACUGCGGCGUAAGCGUGUGUAGGCGGUUCGGAAAGAAAGAUGUGAAAUCCCAGGGCUCAACCUUGGAACUGCAUUUUUAACUGCCGAGCUAGAGUAUGUCAGAGGGGGGUAGAAUUCCACGUGUAGCAGUGAAAUGCGUAGAUAUGUGGAGGAAUACCGAUGGCGAAGGCAGCCCCCUGGGAUAAUACUGACGCUCAGACACGAAAGCGUGGGGAGCAAACAGGAUUAGAUACCCUGGUAGUCCACGCCCUAAACGAUGUCAACUAGCUGUUGGGGCCGUUAGGCCUUAGUAGCGCAGCUAACGCGUGAAGUUGACCGCCUGGGGAGUACGGUCGCAAGAUUAAAACUCAAAGGAAUUGACGGGGACCCGCACAAGCGGUGGAUGAUGUGGAUUAAUUCGAUGCAACGCGAAAAACCUUACCUACCCUUGACAUGUCUGGAAAGCCGAAGAGAUUUGGCCGUGCUCGCAAGAGAACCGGAACACAGGUGCUGCAUGGCUGUCGUCAGCUCGUGUCGUGAGAUGUUGGGUUAAGUCCCGCAACGAGCGCAACCCUUGUCAUUAGUUGCUACGCAAGAGCACUCUAAUGAGACUGCCGGUGACAAACCGGAGGAAGGUGGGGAUGACGUCAAGUCCUCAUGGCCCUUAUGGGUAGGGCUUCACACGUCAUACAAUGGUCGGGACAGAGGGUCGCCAACCCGCGAGGGGGAGCCAAUCUCAGAAACCCGAUCGUAGUCCGGAUCGCAGUCUGCAACUCGACUGCGUGAAGUCGGAAUCGCUAGUAAUCGCGGAUCAGAAUGUCGCGGUGAAUACGUUCCCGGGUCUUGUACACACCGCCCGUCACACCAUGGGGAGUGGGUUUCACCAGAAGUAGGUAGCCUAACCGUAAGGAGGGCGCUUACCACGGUGGGAUUAUGACGGGGUGAUUAGAAGGGGGGGGGGGAAAAAAAAAAAAAAAGGAAAGCG
RNAcentral lists this ribosomal RNA (981 nucleotides) under Alcaligenes faecalis. RNAcentral describes it as "bacterial SSU rRNA". It matches the Rfam family "Bacterial small subunit ribosomal RNA", at positions 534 to 1533 of the family's 1533-position model. Lineage: Bacteria; Pseudomonadati; Pseudomonadota; Betaproteobacteria; Burkholderiales; Alcaligenaceae. The record is from RNAcentral.